This 552-nucleotide long non-coding RNA is filed under the name Oreochromis niloticus (Nile tilapia). Its description in RNAcentral is "lncRNA (ENSONIG00000030239.1)". The record is from RNAcentral. Lineage: Eukaryota; Metazoa; Chordata; Actinopteri; Cichliformes; Cichlidae.
AUGUCCUCAAAGCCUCAGCAGCUUCAUCCCAAGAGGCCUGAACCUAAAAAAGAAAGGAAGAAACAGUCUAAACAGAGCAAAUCUCCCAGACUCGCUCUUCCCAAAAAUGGCAACACGGCAGUUUCAUUAAAACCUCUAGGAGGAGCUCCAGUGCCUCUGACAGCAAAGUCACUGAUCACUCCUAAGACUGUCAAACGCUCUCUGGCGGCAUUUAAAGACAUUUUUGCUUCAGUCAUAGAGUCUUCGACUGUGGACAGACGCCAGACUAACAGAUGUGAUGUCAGAUCACGUCCGUCUGAGGAAAUCUGUGUAGCAGGCAGUAACACUCAUGCAGCUGACAACAGCCCAGACAACCAGGAGACCACACAAGACAGCAGGUCACAAGUCCACAGGAGUGGGCCGUCCUCCAUGAUUGAGCUGGAAGACUAUGAAGACGCUGACAGCAUAAUUUCGCUGUCAUCCAGGAGCCCAGUUCUGCUCUGCUUCAGAUCUUUGUGCCCCUCCCCUCAAGCCUCUGAUCUUACAGCGGAAGGAUACGGCCAACCUGGCUGA